GGAUGUGAGGGCGAUCUGGCUGCGACAUCUGUCACCCAUUGAUCGCCAGGGUUGAUUCGGCUGAUCUGGCUGGCUAGGCGUGUGUCCCCUUCCUCCCUCACCGCUCCAUGUGCGUCCCUCCCGAAGCUGCGCGCUCCGUCGAAGAGGACGACCAUCCCCGAUAGAGGAGAGGACCGUUCUUUGGUCAAGGGUAUACGAGUAGCUGCGCUCCCCUGCUAGAACCUCCAAACAAGCUCUCAAGAAUGUAUUGCUUAUUUAAUACAUAGAUAAAUAAACAAAACUUAAACAAAAAAUGAAGUAACUCCGCUUGGCAGUAACU
RNAcentral lists this small nuclear RNA (319 nucleotides) under Neogale vison (American mink). RNAcentral's name for it is "Neovison vison (American mink) 7SK RNA (ENSNVIG00000002776.1)". It matches the Rfam family "7SK RNA". From Rfam's summary of the family: 7SK was discovered as an abundant small nuclear RNA in the mid-70s but a possible function has only recently been suggested. Lineage: Eukaryota; Metazoa; Chordata; Mammalia; Carnivora; Mustelidae. The record is from Rfam by way of RNAcentral.